AGUUUGUAUCAUGGCUCAGUAUCUACGCUGGCGGCGUGCCUAACACAUGCAAGUCGAACGAGAAAGUGGAGCAAUCCAUGAGUAAAGUGGCGCACGGGUGAGUAACACGUGACUAACCUACCCUUGAGUGGGGGAUAACUGAGGGAAACCUUAGCUAAUACCGCAUAAUACCUACGGGUCAAAGGAGCAAUUCGCUUAAGGAGGGGGUCGCGGCCGAUUAGUUAGUUGGCGGGGUAAUGGCCCACCAAGACGAUGAUCGGUAUCCGGCCUGAGAGGGCGCACGGCCACACUGAAACUGAAACACGGUCCAGACUCCUACGGGAGGCAGCAGUGGGGAAUUUUGCGCAAUGGGGGAAACCCUGACGCAACAACGCCGAGUGGAGGAUGAAGUCCUUCUGGACGUAAACUCCUUUCGAUCGGGACGAUUAUGACGCUACCGGAAGAAGAAGCCCCGGCUAACUUCGUGCCAACAGCCGCGGUAAUUCGAGGGGGGCGAGCGUUGUUUCGGAAUUAUUGGGAGUAAAGGGUGCGUAAGGCGGU
This 540-nucleotide ribosomal RNA is filed under the name uncultured bacterium. RNAcentral's name for it is "bacterial SSU rRNA". It matches the Rfam family "Bacterial small subunit ribosomal RNA", at positions 10 to 580 of the family's 1533-position model. The record is from RNAcentral.